RNAcentral lists this ribosomal RNA (250 nucleotides) under uncultured bacterium. Its description in RNAcentral is "partial 16S ribosomal RNA". It matches the Rfam family "Bacterial small subunit ribosomal RNA", at positions 779 to 1026 of the family's 1533-position model. The record is from RNAcentral.
UAGAUACCCUGGUAGUCCGCACCAUAAACGAUGGAUACUUGUUGUUGGAGGUAUUGACCCCUUCAGUGACGAAGCUAACGCGUUAAGUAUCCCGCCUGGGGAGUACGGUCGCAAGAUUAAAACUCAAAGAAAUUGACGGGGGCCCGCACAAGCGGUGGAGCAUGUGGUUUAAUUCGAUGCAACGCGAAGAACCUUACCUAGGCUUGACAUGUAAUGGAAUAUUGGCGGAAACGCCGUAGCUCGCAAGAGC